UGGAACCAGUCUGUUGUUCCAUGUCCACUCCUAACUGUUGCUUCCUGACCUGCAUAUAGGUUUCUCAAGAGGCAGGUCAGAUGGUCUGGUAUUCCAAGUAUGCAGUUAUGUCGAGUUGCAUUAAGUAUACAUUUUUGGGUAGGUGUGGCAGCUAUGAGGCUAGUGGAAUGUUGGCUUCCCAACUAGGGAUUAAACCUGGGCCCUGGGAAUGAGAACACAGAGUACUUACCACUGGACUACCAGGGAAUUCCCAAGUAUAUUCUUAUUGUUAUGCAACAAUUGCCACUAUCCAUCUCGUGUUUUUUGUCAUCCCAAAUUGCUACUUGGUACUUACUAAAUAAUAACUUCUUCUUGUCCCUUAGUCUAUUUCUGGUAACCACUGUUAUACUUUCUAUCUUGGUCUUUAUGAAAUAAAUUCCUCUAGUUAAGUUAUGGAGUUGGAACUAUAUAUUAGACUUGGCCCUUUUGAACACCAUGAAUUGGAAAUGCACAGGGUUGAUAUUCAUAGGGACUUGGGGAUAAGUACAAAUUGGAGUUUUGACCUAUGGAGAUUCCUUCAGUUGGAUAUAAAGCCACCAGGGAAGCUCUCUAUAGCACUAGAGCAUUUUAAAUUUAUGUUUCUGUUUUCUGUGUUGGCCUGUACAUGUGUGUUUAUUACAUGCCACAGGGGACUGUGUAAUUACAUCAAACAAUGUUAAGAGUGAUUUUGCAAUAUCUAGGUAUCCUUUAAUAACCAUGAGAAGAUAUCCAAUGGGAAUUUGCUAUAUGUCUCAGGAAACUCAAACAAGGUCUCUGUAUCAUCCUAGAGGGGUGGGAUGAGGGAGAUGGGAGAGAGGUUCACAAGGGAGGGGAUAUACACCUAUGGCUGAUUCAUGUUGAGGUUUGACAGAAAACAGCAAAAUUCUGUAAAGCAAUUAUCCUUCGAUUAAAAAAUAAAUUAAAAAAAAUAUUCGUGAGAAGAAAUGCAGUAUGUGUUAGUCACAAGUCACUGGGUUCCUCUGUGCAAGGUUCUAUGCCAUUGGUAAUCAAAAGAUACAGAAAAUGCCCAUGAUGUGCAGAAACUCUCAAAAGGAGAUCCUAAUGAGACAAUGUAGACUUUAAAGCAUUUCUACAUACAGGAUUAAUUGGAUAAAACAUUCUAGUCCUUCAAAAUAGGAAAGGUUAGAUGUGUCUCCACUUAAUAUUUCUAUAAACCAUAUAAAGGAAUGUUUGACAGAAAUAAAAGAGAUAGUACAUUGUUCCAUAGGGGGACUUAAUCAUCCUUCUCCCCAUAAUGUUUCUCCAAGCAAUAGGGGAUAAUCAGGACAUUCAUGACAAUGAGUAAGGGUUUAAUACAUGUGUACUGAAUACUGUCUCUAGUAACUUAGAAAGUGCUUGUCUGGGGAUAGAGGUGAGGGGAUGGACUAGAACAGACAGUUGGUUUCAGGGGAAGAUUAUGUUCUGUAUCUUUUUGUAGCUGGUGUUUACUCAAGUAUGUUCAGUUUUCAAAACUCGUUGCCUGAAUUCUUAAAUGAGCAUUUCAUUGUACAUGAAAUAUAUCUCAACAACAAAAAGUAAAAAUCCUAUGCAGUCAGCAGGAAAAUAAACAGAUGUCUGACCUUGUUCAGUACAAGGUUUCCCAGUUUGAGGAAUGUGAUAUUAAACAGAAUCUCUACUGGGAAAUAGCUGUUUGUGUGUGUCUGUGUGUGACUUCACAGUUAACAAAUGACAUAUAAAAUCUUUCCAAAAGAAUGCCAGAUCCUAAUGCCAGACUCACAAACUUGAUGUAUGUGGUUUCAGGUUUUAUACUUCUCAUCCAUGGUGUUAUCAUGAUGGUGGGUUUGGUUCACACAUAAGAACUGUGGAACUUUCCACCUUUGUCAUUCUAAUACCAUUGGAGAUGACCAUUUUAGACUGCUCUUUGGUUUUUUAUUUUGUUGAAGACUGAAUUCCUAGUGGUGGUUCUCUGAGAAGACACACAUCUAUGGAGACCCAUACAAUACACAGAUUUUGGAACAAGUCUGACUUGCCACUUCCCAUCUACAAAGGUAUGGUUACUCGGGACUUCCUGCUAGUACAGUGGAUAGAAUCUAUCUGCCAAUACAGUGGACAUGGGUUCAAUCCCUGGUCCAGAAGAUUCUGAUGCCAUGAGGCAACUAAGCCCAUGUGCCACAACUACUGAGUCUGUGUGCCGUAACUACUGAAACCCAUGCACCUAGAGCCUGUGCUCUGCAAUGAGAGAAGCCACCAGAAUGAGAAGCCUAUGCACCACAAAAAAGAGUAGUCCCUGCUCACCACAACUAGAGAAAGCACUACGGGAAGCCACAAGGUCCAGUUCAACCAAAAAAAAAAAAAAAAAUCGUUACUACCUUCUUUGUGAGAAUUAAAAAGACCCUUGUGGCAGAGGAGGAUCCCAGGAAGUGAUGGCUGCUAUUAUUACUAUUACUUUUGUGACAGUUAUUAAUAUUUUUGAUACAUAACUUUUCAAAUUAUAGAGAUGUCAUUCAGAUAAUGGGAUCUUGAGUGCAAGUUCCUUGAAUAGAAUUUUGCUUCACCAACUUAAGGUCUGUGUGACCUUGACAAAGUUUCUUAACCUGUCUUAGCUGUAAAUACCUCACCCCUACAACAGGAAUAAUAAAUAUCCCCUACAUUGUAAGACUGAUGAGUUAAUUAAAUGAGAUGAUGCAUG
Bubalus bubalis (water buffalo) is the source of this 2668-nucleotide long non-coding RNA. RefSeq lists it as uncharacterized. Lineage: Eukaryota; Metazoa; Chordata; Mammalia; Artiodactyla; Bovidae. The transcript is spliced from 2 exons. The record is from RefSeq and is a predicted model, not a curated record.